UAUUCGUCAAUGGGGGAAACCCUGAACGAGCAAUGCCGCGUGAGUGAUGAAGGCCCUAUGGGUUGUAAAACUCUGUUAUUUGGGAAGAAAGGCUAGUAUAGGAAAUGAUGCUAGUUUGACGGUACCUUAUCAGAAAGCCCCGGCUAACUACGUGCCAGCAGCCGCGGUAAUACGUAGGGGGCGAGCGUUAUCCGGAUUUAUUGGGCGUAAAGCGUGUGUAGGCGGUUUGUUAAGUAUAAGAUUAAAGCCCGGGGCUCAACUCCGGUUCAUCUUAUAAACUGGCAGACUUGGGUGUGGUAGAGGCAAGUGGAAUUUCUAGUGUAGCGGUUAAAUGCGUAGAUAUUAGAAGGAACACCAGUGGCGAAGGCGGCUUGCUGGGCCAUUACUGACGCUGAGACACGAAAGCGUGGGGAGCA
RNAcentral lists this ribosomal RNA (416 nucleotides) under uncultured bacterium. RNAcentral's name for it is "bacterial SSU rRNA". It matches the Rfam family "Bacterial small subunit ribosomal RNA", at positions 362 to 770 of the family's 1533-position model. The record is from RNAcentral.